GGGUCAGUAGGUUGGUCGUGCCACCGGUACGUACUGGUCUCACUGAUUCCUCCUUCCUGAAGAACCGUAAUGCCGUUAAUUUGGUGUUGCGGGGAAACAGGACUGUUACUUUGAAAAAAUUAGAGUGUUUAAAGCAAGCUAACACUUGAAUACAUUAGCAUGGAAUAAUGAAAUAGGACGAUCGAUCCUAUUUUGUUGGUUUCUAGGAUUGACGUA
RNAcentral lists this ribosomal RNA (216 nucleotides) under Glomeromycotina sp. RNAcentral's name for it is "partial small subunit ribosomal RNA". The stretch from base 40 to 216 matches the Rfam family "Eukaryotic small subunit ribosomal RNA", at positions 686 to 864 of the family's 1831-position model. Lineage: Eukaryota; Fungi; Glomeromycota. The record is from RNAcentral.